CAAAUCUUUUUGGGGGGGGGGGGGGAUUCUAUAUUUACUUGGAUUGAAUAAAGGAAGAAGCUUGUGUGUAUAUUCAAUAGUGUGGAAACAAUUAGAAACUAGCGUCCUGUCAUUUGAUUGAUCGAGGUUAUGUUCCAUUUGAAUUUUACACUUGUGAGAUCACUUUGUUAUUUCUAUCAGUUCUUUGCAGAUAUUCUAUAUUUACUUAGAUUGAAAAUGGAAGAAGCUUAUGUAUUCAUAAUGUGGAAACAUUUAGAAGCUAGCGUCCUGUCUUUUGAUCGUUAGAGAAGUUAUAUUCCAUUUGAAUUUUUACACUUAUGAGAUCACUUUGUUAUUCCUAUCAGUUCUUGGCAAUUGCUUAGAUUGAAAAUGGAAGAAGCUUAUGUGUAUCUUCAUAACGUGUUAACACUUGUGAGAAUCAUUUUGUUAUUCCUAUCAGUUCUUGACAAUAUUUUAUAUCUUCUUUGAUUGAAAAAGGAAGAAGCUUAUGUGUAUAUUCAUAAUGUAGAAACAAUUAGGAACAAGCAUCCUCUGUCUACUUGAAUGAUCAUUAGAGAGGUUAGGUUCCAUUUGGCUUUUAUACUUAUGAGAUCACUUUGUUAUUCCUAUCAAUCCUAAGCAAUAUACAGUUCCCCCCUCUUGUUUCCAACGUUUUAAAAAUAUUGGCUUGUUUGCAAUCAUGUGAUGAUGAUGUGCAUGUUUGUUUGUUUCUGUGCAAUCAUGUGAUGAGGAAGAAGCUUGUGAGUUUGCCGGCGAGAAUCGAGAUGGUCAGGAGGAGCUUGAGAGUGAGAGCUGAUGGAUGAUGAUGACAGAUAGCUGUUUGGUGUGGUAGAAGAGCAAAAGCUAACGCCUUUGUGCGUUUUGCAAGCUGUUAAAGAAUAUUAAAACCCCCAAUGGCAGAUCAACGGGGUAAAAAAAAAGUGUGGUGUAACCGCAAGACAAGAUAAUGAUACCAUCCCUCUUCAUUGCUAACAUAUGCAAGACAUUUGGACUCCAGAAACUUUGAAGGAGAAGCUGAAACAUGAGCGAGCAUAUGGAUGAGAUAAACUUUGGUCGUAAAGAAAGUGUUUUGAUCACUGACAUUAUUAGGAUUGUGAAGAAUCCACAAACAUAAACAUAGAAGAGCCAAUUAAAAGCUUUUUGUGAAACAGGAAGUGAUGGUCGAACUCGGGUGUAGCAGUGUCUUUCUUUGUUCAUACAAACAAAGAGAAGAGUGGUGGUACAUCUCAUCAACUUCUGUGUUUUGCAAGAAGGUUCCUCAGUAUCCAAAAAGCUAGCUUGAAGAGGGAGGGAGUAAAGUCAGGCGUGAUGUUCUUCUUCCUCCAAGAAUACUACAGUGUAUAAACUCUAACUGGAGGUAGUUGUCAAUAAUUGCUUUCAGUCGCCCAUAGUUACAGUCGCCUUAUUUCAAUUGACAAAUGGAUCACAACUGCCGUGCGGUUCUAGACUCUCUUGUGAAGUCUCCGAGCUUGCCUAAGGUCAAGAACUCUCCUAAAGGAAAGGUUCUGAUGCGAGCUUUUUAUGGUGUUAAGGUCCAAACGGUUUAUAUCUUCUGCAGUGUAUUUACCGCGGCCAGUGGUCUGAUUCCACCAACCAUCUUUUCCAUUUAAGCGUCUCUGAUAAACCAUUGUGGGCUAAGAGGUCUUCACUGAUAUGCUGCAGAGACUUGAGAGGGUUGAUGCUAGUGUGGAGAAGCUUUACCCGAUAUGAUACAAAGACGGUGUGGAAGAUGAAACUUUUGUAAGGGUUAUGUAAUGGAGCUGGGGACGCAAGCUGAGAAAUUGUCUCAACGGUUAGAUCGGUUACUAGAGGAAGUUGACAGUUUCUUCAAAAUGACUUUAAGCGGAAGAGAUGUGUUGCCCUGUAAUCUUAUGAGUCUAGGUCUCUAAAAGUGUGCAUCUGUUGAGCUUUUGUAUACUUGGUUUAAGUGUGUUGGGUCUUGUCUGUACUGAUUGAAAUCAAUUCAAAUAUAUAAAACUU
Long non-coding RNA from Raphanus sativus (radish), 1980 nucleotides. RefSeq lists it as uncharacterized. NCBI's taxonomy places the organism in Eukaryota, Viridiplantae, Streptophyta, Magnoliopsida, Brassicales, Brassicaceae. The transcript is spliced from 5 exons. The record is from RefSeq and is a predicted model, not a curated record.